This 345-nucleotide unclassified non-coding RNA is filed under the name soil metagenome. Its description in RNAcentral is "partial contains 5.8S ribosomal RNA, internal transcribed spacer 2, and large subunit ribosomal RNA". The stretch from base 1 to 119 matches the Rfam family "5.8S ribosomal RNA", at positions 35 to 154 of the family's 154-position model. The record is from RNAcentral.
GAUGAAGAACGUAGCGAAAUGUGAUACGUAAUGUGAAUUGCAAAUUCAGUGAAUCAUCGAGUCUUUGAACGCACAUUGCGCCCCCUGGUAUUCCGGGGGGCAUGCCUGUCCGAGCGUCAUUGCUGCCCUCAAGCACGGCUUGUGUGUUGGGCCCCGUCCUCCGAUCCCGGGGGACGGGCCCGAAAGGCAGCGGCGGCACCGCGUCCGGUCCUCGAGCGUAUGGGGCUUUGUCACCCGCUCUGUAGGCCCGGCCGGCGCUUGCCGAUCAACCCAAAUUUUUAUCCAGGUUGACCUCGGAUCAGGUAGGGAUACCCGCUGAUCUUAAGCAUAUCAAUAAGCGGAGGA